RNAcentral lists this ribosomal RNA (503 nucleotides) under Bacillaceae bacterium CL5.139. Its description in RNAcentral is "bacterial SSU rRNA". It matches the Rfam family "Bacterial small subunit ribosomal RNA", at positions 17 to 503 of the family's 1533-position model. Lineage: Bacteria; Bacillati; Bacillota; Bacilli; Caryophanales; Bacillaceae. The record is from RNAcentral.
CCCUGGCUCAGGACGAACGCUGGCGGCGUGCCUAAUACAUGCAAGUCGAGCGAAUCUUUGGGAGCUUGCUCCCGAAGGUUAGCGGCGGACGGGUGAGUAACACGUGGGCAACCUGCCUAUAAGACUGGGAUAACUUCGGGAAACCGGAGCUAAUACCGGAUAAUCCUUUUCCUCUCAUGAGGGAAAGCUGAAAGACGGUCUCGGCUGUCACUUAUAGAUGGGCCCGCGGCGCAUUAGCUAGUUGGUGAGGUAACGGCUCACCAAGGCGACGAUGCGUAGCCGACCUGAGAGGGUGAUCGGCCACACUGGGACUGAGACACGGCCCAGACUCCUACGGGAGGCAGCAGUAGGGAAUCUUCCGCAAUGGACGAAAGUCUGACGGAGCAACGCCGCGUGAACGAUGAAGGCUUUCGGGUCGUAAAGUUCUGUUGUUAGGGAAGAACAAGUAUCGGAGUAACUGCCGGUACCUUGACGGUACCUAACCAGAAAGCCACGGCUAACUA